AUGAAUUUGGUGCUUGCACCAAAUGAAACUAGAUACAAGCGAGCGGCGGACGGGUGAGUAACACGUGGGUAACCUGCCCAAGAGACUGGGAUAACACCUGGAAACAGAUGCUAAUACCGGAUAACAACACUAGACGCAUGUCUAGAGUUUAAAAGAUGGUUCUGCUAUCACUCUUGGAUGGACCUGCGGUGCAUUAGCUAGUUGGUAAGGUAACGGCUUACCAAGGCAAUGAUGCAUAGCCGAGUUGAGAGACUGAUCGGCCACAUUGGGACUGAGACACGGCCCAAACUCCUACGGGAGGCAGCAGUAGGGAAUCUUCCACAAUGGACGCAAGUCUGAUGGAGCAACGCCGCGUGAGUGAAGAAGGGUUUCGGCUCGUAAAGCUCUGUUGGUAGUGAAGAAAGAUAGAGGUAGUAACUGGCCUUUAUUUGACGGUAAUUACUUAGAAAGUCACGGCUAACUACGUGCCAGCAGCCGCGGUAAUACGUAGGUGGCAAGCGUUGUCCGGAUUUAUUGGGCGUAAAGCGAGUGCAGGCGGUUCAAUAAGUCUGAUGUGAAAGCCUUCGGCUCAACCGGAGAAUUGCAUCAGAAACUGUUGAACUUGAGUGCAGAAGAGGAGAGUGGAACUCCAUGUGUAGCGGUGGAAUGCGUAGAUAUAUGGAAGAACACCAGUGGC
RNAcentral lists this ribosomal RNA (676 nucleotides) under uncultured Bacilli bacterium. RNAcentral's name for it is "bacterial SSU rRNA". It matches the Rfam family "Bacterial small subunit ribosomal RNA", at positions 67 to 716 of the family's 1533-position model. Lineage: Bacteria; Bacillati; Bacillota; Bacilli. The record is from RNAcentral.